Long non-coding RNA from Lycium barbarum (goji berry), 1311 nucleotides. RefSeq lists it as uncharacterized. The transcript is spliced from 2 exons. The record is from RefSeq and is a predicted model, not a curated record. Lineage: Eukaryota; Viridiplantae; Streptophyta; Magnoliopsida; Solanales; Solanaceae.
AAUGCCUUUUAUAUAUCAGCGUGUUGUUGCUUGUCUUGCAUACAGUGCCAAAUGGCAUUGUUGUUUCGGCAGGGAUACUUUUAUUAUCUAUGGCUUUCAUGGUUACCUUUUGUUUUAUUGUUAAAAUUGAUGUCUUUGCAUGCUAAGAAUGGUUUAGUGAGAAGAAAAUUUGAUGUCCUGUAAGCUCCCAGCUUUCUAUCUGAAAAUGGUGGUGAGGCAAAAAGGCUUGCUAAACUUAUGUCAUCCCCCAAAUUGUAGCAUUCCACUGUUGGAAAUUGAAUCGCUUUAUUUCCAUUUUGACACUGAGAACAUAAUCAUCAGUAUGAUAAAUUGCCAAUUGAACUAAGAAGUAUUUAAUCCAUUCAUCUCUAUUAUGUUGAUUUCGUUGGCAAAAUUACAAGGGGCAUUACACUUGGUUCCUGAGUAAGACUAGAAAUUAGUCUACUACUGCCAGUAGCUCUUGUACAAUUAAAUAUUAUGUUGGAGAAAUUGCAAUUCAUACUUAGUUUCCGUUUAACCUUUGUGUUUGGGGUGGAGUGACAAUGAACCUUUAUACUUACAGAAGUACACAAGUUCGAGUUCACCAAAUUGCCACAACCAAGGGUCCAGUUUACUUCGGCGAUCCUCAGCUAUUCCUGCCAAAUAUAUAUAGAUAGCGCAUGAGUUCUAGUGGGGGGUUUGAGUCACCAACAGAGCAAAGUUGGAAAAGCCGCUGUGUUUGACUCUUUCGCCUUGGUGUUGGGGUUGGUACUGUAUAAAAAAAUGGAGAAAGUUGGCUUCAAUUGUCAACUAAGGGGGAUGCUAAGUCGUCGUUGAUCACCAUCUAGAAAUGUCAGGGGAUGCUAAGUCCUUGCGGAUCGCCAACUAGAAAAUAAGAGCAAAAAUAGGAGUUGUCUGUGUUACCAACCAGUCUCACCCAUUCAAGAUGUGGUUCCUUUGGCUGAGGUGAUUAUAAACACUCUUUAUCAUGUUUAUCUCAUCCCCAGUCAUCGGCGCGACAAGAAUUGAUGUACUUCUAUUAGGGCUACCCUCAUGCAACUGUUGCAUUAAUAUAUAGCACACCAAGUUUUUGUAAAUGAUUGGAAGUGAAGCAUGCGGAAUGAUAGCUUGGUAUACCUGAAGGAUGUCCCCUCACCAUGGCCAAUUUGACUGUGAAUGUAAGGUUUGAUUAGGGGCCUAUGAGCAUUUUUAGGAAGAAAAAUCGACAGAAUUUGGUGUUACAUUAGACCAUAUGCACCAAUUGUUCACAGUUCAUUGUAACAAUGCAUAUGAAUAUGAUGGUAAAUGAAGACAUGAUUACUUGUUAUGGUA